AACCUUUCACACCAUCAUCAUCAGCUGCAGUGAUGUUCUCUUAUUCUCGUUCUCUCCUUCUGGUUCUACGGAUCUUUCAGUGCUAUACAAUGAGCAAAUGUGAAGUCAUGACCAGCUUCUGUUUAAGUAGAGAUGUACAUUACCAGCCAGUGAAAGUUCCAACUACACCUCCAGUGGAAUACACAAAGCAACAACACCACACAACAACGUCACAAGGAGGUUCACGUCCAAACCCAGAUGAAUGUUGUGUGAGUUUCUCUUUCACACUGCCUUCUAGCAAACCCUCAGCAAGACAUGAAGACACCAGAGUGACCUGUCAAG
Molecule: long non-coding RNA, 321 nt
Organism: Clarias gariepinus (North African catfish)
Lineage: Eukaryota; Metazoa; Chordata; Actinopteri; Siluriformes; Clariidae
Exons: 4
Source: RefSeq, a predicted model, not a curated record